RNAcentral lists this ribosomal RNA (321 nucleotides) under Triticum aestivum (bread wheat). RNAcentral's name for it is "partial small subunit ribosomal RNA". The record is from RNAcentral. Lineage: Eukaryota; Viridiplantae; Streptophyta; Magnoliopsida; Poales; Poaceae.
AUGUAUAAGAACAGACAUGCCAAACAACAUAUCAGAGGUCGACUUAUUCAUUGUCUUGAAAGAUUUCGUAUGGAUGACACAAACACAACAGAGGCUGGUCAGGCAAACAAGACCACGGAUUCUUCCACGGGAGCUCCUUGUAAAACAACACAUCAGAGGUCAACUUAUUCAUUGUCAACUAGAGAAAAAUGUCUCAAAAGAUUUCGUAUAGAUGACACAAACAGAACAGGGGCUGGUGAGGCAAACGAGAGCACGAAUUUUUGCACGGGAGCGCCUUGCCACGGCUGUUCUUCAGUAAAUCUCAACAAAAAGAUGGACUAG